This 279-nucleotide ribosomal RNA is filed under the name uncultured bacterium. RNAcentral's name for it is "partial 16S ribosomal RNA". It matches the Rfam family "Bacterial small subunit ribosomal RNA", at positions 506 to 784 of the family's 1533-position model. The record is from RNAcentral.
UGCCAGCAGCCGCGGUAAGACGGAGGGUGCAAGCGUUGUUCGGAAUUAUUGGGCGUAAAGCGUGCGUAGGCGGACUGUUAAGUCUGAUGUGAAAUCCCGCGGCUCAACCGCGGACGUGCAUUGGAUACUGGCAGUCUUGAGUCCUGGAGAGGAGAGCGGAAUUCCUAGUGUAGAGGUGAAAUUCGUAGAUAUUAGGAGGAACACCAGUGGCGAAGGCGGCUCACUAAACUAUUACUGACGCUCAGGAACGAAAGCAUGGGGAGCGAACAGGAUUAGAUA